This 443-nucleotide ribosomal RNA is filed under the name Clostridioides difficile. RNAcentral's name for it is "bacterial SSU rRNA". It matches the Rfam family "Bacterial small subunit ribosomal RNA", at positions 338 to 795 of the family's 1533-position model. Lineage: Bacteria; Bacillati; Bacillota; Clostridia; Peptostreptococcales; Peptostreptococcaceae. The record is from RNAcentral.
CCUACGGGGGGCUGCAGUGGGGAAUAUUGGACAAUGGACCAAAAGUCUGAUCCAGCAAUUCUGUGUGCACGAUGACGGUCUUAGGAUUGUAAAGUGCUUUCAAUCGGGAAAAAGAAAGUGAUGGUACCGAUAGAAGAAGCGACGGCUAAAUACGUGCCAGCAGCCGCGGUAAUACGUAUGUCGCAAGCGUUAUCCGGAUUUAUUGGGCGUAAAGCGCGUCUAGGCGGUCUGGUAAGUCUGAUGUGGAAAUGCGGGGCUCAACUCCGUAUUGCGUUGGAAACUGCCAGACUAGAGUACUGGAGAGGUGGGCGGAACUACAAGUGUAGAGGUGAAAUUCGUAGAUAUUUGUAGGAAUGCCGAUAGAGAAGUCAGCUCACUGGACAGAUACUGACGCUGAAGCGCGAAAGCAUGGGGAGCAAACAGGAUUAGAUACCCGGGUAGUC